UCCACAUCAUCUUGAAACACUGCUUCCCAUAUGAUCACCGUAGUUAAGCAACAUCGAGUCUGGUCGAUACCUAGAUGGUUAGCCACUUGGGAAUAUCAGGUGCUGUCAG
Molecule: non-coding RNA, 109 nt
Organism: Acanthosepion pharaonis
Lineage: Eukaryota; Metazoa; Mollusca; Cephalopoda; Sepiida; Sepiidae
Source: the annotation of a GenBank genome assembly